This 303-nucleotide ribosomal RNA is filed under the name uncultured bacterium. RNAcentral describes it as "partial 16S ribosomal RNA". It matches the Rfam family "Bacterial small subunit ribosomal RNA", at positions 507 to 809 of the family's 1533-position model. The record is from RNAcentral.
AGCAGUCGCCGCGGGAAUACAGAGGAUGCAAGCGUUAUCCGGAAUGAUUGGGCGUAAAGCGCGCGCAGGUGGUUUAAUAAGUCUGAUGUGAAAGCCCACGGCUCAACCGUGGAGGGUCAUUGGAAACUGGGAGACCUGAGUGCAGAAGAGGAGAGCGGAAUUCCAUGUGUAGCGGUGAAAUGCGUAGAUAUAUGGAGGAACACCGGUGGCGAAAGCGGCUCUCAGGCUUGUAACUGACGCUGAGGCUCGAAAGCGUGGGGAGCAAACAGGAUUAGAUACCCCGGUAGUCCCUGUCUCUUAUAA